GUGAAGAACGCAGCUAAAUGCGAUAAGUAAUGUGAAUUGCAGAAUUCCGUGAAUCAUCGAAUUUUUGAACGCAUAUUGCGCCCUCUGGUAUUCCGGAGGGCAUGCCUGUCCGAGCGUCAUUUCUGCCCUCGAGCCGGUCCAGCAUCUAGGUGCUGCUCCGGCCCGGCGUUGGGGCACUACGGGAAGCCUCGUGCUAUCCCCCGUAGGCCCCGAAAUGAAGUGGCGGUCCUGCCGCGGCUCCCCCUGCGUAGUAUUACAGCUCGCUUCGGGACCCGGUGGAGGCCUGCCGUCAAACCUUACUCUCUAAGUUUGACCUCGGAUCAGGUAGGGUUACCCGCUGAACUUAAGCAUAUCAAUAAGCGGAGGA
RNAcentral lists this unclassified non-coding RNA (367 nucleotides) under soil metagenome. Its description in RNAcentral is "partial contains 5.8S ribosomal RNA, internal transcribed spacer 2, and large subunit ribosomal RNA". The stretch from base 2 to 119 matches the Rfam family "5.8S ribosomal RNA", at positions 37 to 154 of the family's 154-position model. The record is from RNAcentral.